UAAUAAGUUUGUUCAUAUCAAGGUUCC
RNAcentral lists this small RNA (27 nucleotides) under Bombyx mori (domestic silkworm). RNAcentral's name for it is "ovarian small RNA-19519". The record is from RNAcentral. Lineage: Eukaryota; Metazoa; Arthropoda; Insecta; Lepidoptera; Bombycidae.